CCAACGUGAUUACUUUUUAUCUAUAAUAUUUGACUCUUCGUCUUAUUUAAAUUUUCUUAUGAUUAAUAUUUUUAUUUUUAUUAAAUAAUAAAUCAUGAAUAGUAUUUUACGUGUGACUAUUUUUUAAAACUUCUUAAAAAUUUUUUAAUAAAAUGAAUGGUCAAACGUUGGACACAGAUGAUCA
This 184-nucleotide microRNA precursor is filed under the name Oryza brachyantha (malo sina). Its description in RNAcentral is "MIR812 microRNA precursor family". It matches the Rfam family "MIR812 microRNA precursor family". The record is from Rfam by way of RNAcentral. Lineage: Eukaryota; Viridiplantae; Streptophyta; Magnoliopsida; Poales; Poaceae.